CCCGGGGUUGGUCAGAAGAGCUGGAUGAGCAUGGACACACUCUGUAUGUCAGUGAUUAUACUAAUGAGAAGUGGAUAAAGCACGUGGAUGAACAGGGCAGACCAUACUACUACAGUGCUGAUGGCUCCAGGUCAGAGUGGGAGCUGCCCAAGUACCAACACUCCCCCCCUCUACCUGGUGGAGGAGACCGGACCCCUAAGAGCCACAGUCUGGAUAGGAAACAUGUGGAGCCCAUCGUCCUGACCAAGUGGGCAAACAGCAGCAACGUGCUGGACGCCAACGACAAGGUGAGACAGACGCCCUGUCACG
Long non-coding RNA from Oncorhynchus keta (chum salmon), 309 nucleotides. RefSeq lists it as uncharacterized. The record is from RefSeq and is a predicted model, not a curated record. The transcript is spliced from 3 exons. Lineage: Eukaryota; Metazoa; Chordata; Actinopteri; Salmoniformes; Salmonidae.